ACGCUUACCAUGCAGUCGAGGGGCAGCAUUUUAGUUUGCUUGCAAACUGAAGAUGGCGACCGGCGCACGGGUGAGUAACACGUAUCCAACCUGCCGAUAACUCCGGAAUAGCCUUUCGAAAGAAAGAUUAAUACCGGAUAGCAUACGAAUAUCGCAUGAUAUUUUUAUUAAAGAAUUUCGGUUAUCGAUGGGGAUGCGUUCCAUUAGUUUGUUGGCGGGGUAACGGCCCACCAAGACUACGAUGGAUAGGGGUUCUGAGAGGAAGGUCCCCCACAUUGGAACUGAGACACGGUCCAAACUCCUACGGGAGGCAGCAGUGAGGAAUAUUGGUCAAUGGGCGAGAGCCUGAACCAGCCAAGUAGCGUGAAGGAUGAAGGCUCUAUGGGUCGUAAACUUCUUUUAUAUGGGAAUAAAGUUUUCCACGUGUGGAAUUUUGUAUGUACCAUAUGAAUAAGGAUCGGCUAACUCCGUGCCAGCAGCCGCGGUAAUACGGAGGAUCCGAGCGUUAUCCGGAUUUAUUGGGUUUAAAGGGAGCGUAGGUGGAUUGUUAAGUCAGUUGUGAAAGUUUGCGGCUCAACCGUAAAAUUGCAGUUGAAACUGGCAGUCUUGAGUACAGUAGAGGUGGGCGGAAUUCGUGGUGUAGCGGUGAAAUGCUUAGAUAUCACGAAGAACUCCGAUUGCGAAGGCAGCUCACUAGACUGUCACUGACACUGAUGCUCGAAAGUGUGGGUAUCAAACAGGAUUAGAUACCCUGGUAGUCCACACAGUAAACGAUGAAUACUCGCUGUUUGCGAUAUACAGUAAGCGGCCAAGCGAAAGCAUUAAGUAUUCCACCUGGGGAGUACGCCGGCAACGGUGAAACUCAAAGGAAUUGACGGGGGCCCGCACAAGCGGAGGAACAUGUGGUUUAAUUCGAUGAUACGCGAGGAACCUUACCCGGGCUUAAAUUGCAACAGAAUAUAUUGGAAACAGUAUAGCCGUAAGGCUGUUGUGAAGGUGCUGCAUGGUUGUCGUCAGCUCGUGCCGUGAGGUGUCGGCUUAAGUGCCAUAACGAGCGCAACCCUUAUCUUUAGUUACUAACAGGUCAUGCUGAGGACUCUAGAGAGACUGCCGUCGUAAGAUGUGAGGAAGGUGGGGAUGACGUCAAAUCAGCACGGCCCUUACGUCCGGGGCUACACACGUGUUACAAUGGGGGGUACAGAAGGCGGCUACCUGGUGACAGGAUGCUAAUCCCAAAAACCUCUCUCAGUUCGGAUCGAAGUCUGCAACCCGACUUCGUGAAGCUGGAUUCGCUAGUAAUCGCGCAUCAGCCAUGGCGCGGUGAAUACGUUCCCGGGCCUUGUACACACCGCCCGUCAAGCCAUGAAAGCCGGGGGUACCUGAAGUACGUAACCGCAAGGAGCGUCCUAGGGAGUAU
This 1417-nucleotide ribosomal RNA is filed under the name Bacteroides ovatus. RNAcentral's name for it is "16S ribosomal RNA". It matches the Rfam family "Bacterial small subunit ribosomal RNA". Lineage: Bacteria; Pseudomonadati; Bacteroidota; Bacteroidia; Bacteroidales; Bacteroidaceae. The record is from RNAcentral.